CUUGUACUCAAUCCAAGAUAACCAUCACUGGACAUCCAUUCCUGAUAACAGCAAAGCCUUUUUUUAGAUUGCUUAGAUUGGUUAUUCUGAUUUGGAAGCCAGAAGCCAAAUUUACUGAUACAGGAACCCAAAGAGGGGGAUCACUAAAGACUAAAACUAAAGAGGAUUGCAGAGUUCUACUUAUAGUUUUCUUCUGAAAUAAGGAAAAUUGUUGCAACUACUACUUUCUUCAUGAUCAUCUGAUUCAUUUGAUGAAACUUCUGUGAUUCCACUUGACCCUGAGAAUGAGGAGGAA
This 295-nucleotide unclassified non-coding RNA is filed under the name Hevea brasiliensis (rubber tree). Lineage: Eukaryota; Viridiplantae; Streptophyta; Magnoliopsida; Malpighiales; Euphorbiaceae. The record is from RNAcentral.